GCGUUUCUGUAGCGGUGUGGGUUUUUUACGGGAUGGGGUCGCUAGCCCCAUGCCCAACCCUCUUCCUUUAUCUGGACUUGGGACCUGCAGGGGACCCCGAAGGAAUCCCUCAGUGGAGUUAAUACAAAACUCUGAAUAACAUAAAAUACACAAUAAAAAAAAAAACACAAUACAUGUAGACAAUUAUUUUGUCACAUGUAACAUAUCGAAAACACACACAUGCAUAAAUAAAUAUUUCACAUUAACAACUGCUAUCAACAAUUUCCAACACAUUUGAACCCCCCUGCCAUAAUGGUUUAUUCCCCAAAAAAGGGGUGGGAACUUCCCAUGAUUCACUAUAAAGACAGUCCAAAGGGGCUGAUUUUGUUUGAUAGUGAGGAAACAAUGCCUAGUAGGCAUGAGAGAUUGCUUGGCAAAACAGCAGGAAUGACCAAGCAAAGGGUUGCAGCGAACUGAAGCCUAACCCAGCAACACGGUGCGAGGCUGGAGGGGGAGGGGACACACCCAAGAUAGGACGUCAGUCCGUUGCAAGGCACUCCAAGGAGGACUCAAACCCCAGACCCAUCAGACAGCAGGACCCGGUCAAACCCACGGCACCAGUGUACUCCCCGUAUCUCAGUCCUUCCUUUUCAAUUCAAAUAUGGACUUCAAAAAAACAGAAAAGACAUGAGGGAGCUAACAUCCACUGUUGUAUCCUUCAAGCACUGUGCUGAAUUUUUUUCUCAACAGGUUCAUUCAGCACUUAACUUUUAGGUGAACCUAUAACACAGCUUUUAUUUGGACUCCAGGAUUGAGUUUGUGUUCUAUGAUUAGAAAUGUACACAUGCAGCCUUAUUACAUAGUUUCUGUAAACUUGAUAGUGGGUGGAGUCUAGUCAGACUUGACAUUACACUGUGGUACAAUAGCAUUUUCUGAAGAUAUUUGUGGUAAAGACUGAACAUCCCCAUUGAAAUACAUUCGUAAAGGUAGCUCUUCUGUUAAUAUCAGUGUUCUUCAGUGAUAAUAUACUAAAGAGCGGGACGUGCAGAUGCAUUCAUGUAUGUAUGUGGACUCUCUCCAUAAGUGGUUGCCAAAGCUGUGUUCACCUUUUGGUACCUAAGUUUGGGGGGGUUACCCAUACAAGGUGAAUAAUCAAACAUAAAUUAAUACAACACAUUCAGCCAACCAGCUGAAGGCGAUGUGGACUACCUGAAGCUUAGAUUUUUAUAGCACAAUGAGAAAUAUGUGAGGCACUUCCAUUAUUCAUGCGUGGCCUUGAGCUGCAUUUGACUAGUGAAUUAACUCAUUAAUCUGAAGCUUGGAGGAACCAACCUUACAUUUGCUUGGGGACCCUACUAAAUGUGAGCCCUUUAGAUCCUUGCUAAAAAAUAUAGUAAAAAGCAUGAACCCCAACAAAAGUGAUUUGAAGAGCAUUUUCCCAGGGGCGGUGGUGGCUUAAGACAGGUGCUUAUAAAAU
RNAcentral lists this long non-coding RNA (1456 nucleotides) under Scleropages formosus (Asian bonytongue). RNAcentral's name for it is "lncRNA (ENSSFOG00015025470.1)". Lineage: Eukaryota; Metazoa; Chordata; Actinopteri; Osteoglossiformes; Osteoglossidae. The record is from RNAcentral.